RNAcentral lists this ribosomal RNA (678 nucleotides) under uncultured bacterium. RNAcentral describes it as "bacterial SSU rRNA". It matches the Rfam family "Bacterial small subunit ribosomal RNA", at positions 94 to 788 of the family's 1533-position model. The record is from RNAcentral.
AGUGGCGAACGGGUGAGUAUCGCGUUGGUGACCUGCCCCGAAGUCUGGAAUAACAGUUCGAAAGGACUGCUAAUACCGGAUGUGGUCAUCGGAUUUAGAAACCGAUGACUAAAGGAUUUAUUCGCUUCGGGAGGGGCCUGCGUCCCAUCAGCUAGUUGGUAGGGUAACGGCUUACCAAGGCGACGACGGGUAGGGGACCUGAGAGGGUGGCCCCCCACACUGGAACUGAAACACGGUCCAGACACCUACGGGUGGCAGCAGUAGGGAAUAUUGCACAAUGGGCGAAAGCCUGAUGCAGCAACGCCGCGUGUGCGAUGAAGGCCUUCGGGUCGUAAAGCACUUUUCGGGAGGAUGAGAAAGGACAGUACUCCCGGAAUAAGUCUCGGCUAACUACGUGCCAGCAGCCGCGGUAACACGUAGGAGGCAAGCGUUAUCCGGAUUUACUGGGCGUAAAGCGCGUGCAGGUGGUUUGGUAAGUUGGAUGUGAAAUCUCCCGGCUCAACUGGGAGAGGUCGUUCAAAACUGCCAAACUAGAGGACGGUAGAGGAAAGUGGAAUUCCCGGUGUAGUGGUGAAAUGCGUAGAUAUCGGGAGGAACACCAGUGGCGAAAGCGACUUUCUGGCCCGUUCCUGACACUAAGACGCGAAAGCUAGGGUAGCAAACGGGAUUAGAGACCCC